UCCUGGUUAGCUCAGUGGGUAGAGCACGGGACCUCUCCACUGGAAAUGGAGAGGUCCCUGGUUCGAUAGCGGGACCAGGCG
Molecule: transfer RNA, 81 nt
Filed under: Ixodes scapularis (black-legged tick)
Lineage: Eukaryota; Metazoa; Arthropoda; Arachnida; Ixodida; Ixodidae
Description: tRNA-Ser
Source: RNAcentral